UGACGAACGGGUGAGUAACGCGUGAGGAACCUGCCUCAAAGAGGGGGACAACAGUUGGAAACGACUGCUAAUACCGCAUAAGCCCACGGGUCGGCAUCGAUCUGAGGGAAAAGGAGUGAUCCGCUUUGAGAUGGCCUCGCGUCCGAUUAGUUAGUUGGUGAGGUAACGGCCCACCAAGGCGACGAUCGGUAGCCGGGCUGAGAGGUUGAACGGCCACAUUGGGACUGAGACACGGCCCAG
This 240-nucleotide ribosomal RNA is filed under the name uncultured bacterium. Its description in RNAcentral is "partial 16S ribosomal RNA". It matches the Rfam family "Bacterial small subunit ribosomal RNA", at positions 96 to 334 of the family's 1533-position model. The record is from RNAcentral.